RNAcentral lists this ribosomal RNA (247 nucleotides) under uncultured bacterium. RNAcentral describes it as "partial 16S ribosomal RNA". It matches the Rfam family "Bacterial small subunit ribosomal RNA", at positions 125 to 353 of the family's 1533-position model. The record is from RNAcentral.
CCUGCCUUCAGGAUGGGGACAACAGACGGAAACGACUGCUAAUACCGAAUAAGUUCCAAGAGCCGCAUGGCCCAUGGAAGAAAAGGUGGCCUCUACCUGUAAGCUAUCGCCUGAAGAGGGGCUUGCGUCUGAUUAGCUGGUUGGAGGGGUAACGGCCCACCAAGGCGACGAUCAGUAGCCGGUCUGAGAGGAUGAACGGCCACACUGGAACUGAGACACGGUCCAGACUCCUACGGGAGGCAGCAUG